GAUGAAGAACGCAGUGAAAUGCGAUAAGUGAUGCGAAACGCAACUUUUGUGAGUCAUCGAAUCUUUGAACGCAGAUUGCGCCCUUUGGUAUUCCGAGGGGCAUGCCUGUUCGAGCGUCAUUGCUGCCCUCAAGCACGGCUUGUGUGUUGGGCCUCCGCCCCCCGGCUCCCGGGGGGCGGGCCCGAAAGGCAGCGGCGGCACCGCGUCCGGUCCUCGAGCGUAUGGGGCUUCGUCACCCGCUCCGUAGGCCCGGCCGGCGCCCGCCGGCGACCCCCCUCAAUCUUUCCAGGUUGACCUCGGAUCAGGUAGGGAUACCCGCUGAACUUAAGCAUAUCAAUAAGCGGAGGA
Molecule: unclassified non-coding RNA, 348 nt
Filed under: soil metagenome
Description: partial contains 5.8S ribosomal RNA, internal transcribed spacer 2, and large subunit ribosomal RNA
Rfam family: 5.8S ribosomal RNA (bases 1-119)
Source: RNAcentral